RNAcentral lists this ribosomal RNA (511 nucleotides) under uncultured Rhodopseudomonas sp. RNAcentral's name for it is "bacterial SSU rRNA". It matches the Rfam family "Bacterial small subunit ribosomal RNA", at positions 88 to 634 of the family's 1533-position model. Lineage: Bacteria; Pseudomonadati; Pseudomonadota; Alphaproteobacteria; Hyphomicrobiales; Nitrobacteraceae. The record is from RNAcentral.
UACGUCAGUGGCAGACGGGUGAGUAACGCGUGGGAACGUACCUUUUGGUUCGGAACAACUGAGGGAAACUUCAGCUAAUACCGGAUAAGCCCUUACGGGGAAAGAUUUAUCGCCGAAAGAUCGGCCCGCGUCUGAUUAGCUAGUUGGUGAGGUAAUGGCUCACCAAGGCGACGAUCAGUAGCUGGUCUGAGAGGAUGAUCAGCCACAUUGGGACUGAGACACGGCCCAAACUCCUACGGGAGGCAGCAGUGGGGAAUAUUGGACAAUGGGGGCAACCCUGAUCCAGCCAUGCCGCGUGAGUGAUGAAGGCCCUAGGGUUGUAAAGCUCUUUUGUGCGGGAAGAUAAUGACGGUACCGCAAGAAUAAGCCCCGGCUAACUUCGUGCCAGCAGCCGCGGUAAUACGAAGGGGGCUAGCGUUGCUCGGAAUCACUGGGCGUAAAGGGUGCGUAGGCGGGUUUCUAAGUCAGAGGUGAAAGCCUGGAGCUCAACUCCAGAACUGCCUUUGAUACU